This 434-nucleotide long non-coding RNA is filed under the name Ictidomys tridecemlineatus (thirteen-lined ground squirrel). Its description in RNAcentral is "lncRNA (ENSSTOG00000031747.1)". Lineage: Eukaryota; Metazoa; Chordata; Mammalia; Rodentia; Sciuridae. The record is from RNAcentral.
ACAUGAACAGGAUCCGACCACUGUCUUGUGGACGUGAAGUAACUUUUGAGUGAUGUCGAACAUGACAGCCAGCCCACUUCCAUCAGCAUACAGAGUCCCAGGGACCCCUGGAAUGCUUCCCACUGAGCGUCCUUCUUCCCGACCCACCUCUAGGUUACUGCUUUGCAGCAAAGUGGUGUUUGAAGAAUCUAUGAGACCUCCUCUGUGAACCCCAGAUCCAGGAAGUUGUGGAAAGAUACUGGAAAGUACAAAAGAAGAACUCAAGCAAAGCUUCCACAUCGAUGUAGUAAUCCUGCUACCGGAGAGGUGGCAACAACAGAGAAGCCCGAUUUCUGAGGCCAUGAUGUUUUCUAGGUAGAAAAGACCUCUGCUGUGCUGCGAGUUCAUUUUAGCUGACAUAGCAAAAGCAAGGUUUUUGCUGUUUCUCCGUAAAG